AUUGAACGCUGGCGGCAGGCCUAACACAUGCAAGUCGAGCGAGCGGCGGACGGGUGAGUAAUGUAUGGGGACUGCCCGAUAGAGGGGGAUAACUACUGGAAACGGUGGCUCAUACCGCAUACUAUCGGAUAACCCAUAUGGGAUUAGCUAGUGGGUGGGGUAAUGGCUCACCAAGGCGACGAUCCCUAGCUGGUCUGAGAGGAUGAUCAGCCACACUGGAACUGAGACACGGCCCAGACUCCUACGGAGGCAGCAGUGGGGAAUAUUGCACAAUGGGCGCAAGCCUGAUGCAGCCAUGCCGCGUGUAUGAAGAAGGCCUUAGGGUUGUAAAGUACUUUCAGUGGGGAGGCGUUACCGACAGAAGAAGCACCGGCUAACUCCGUGCCAGCAGCCGCGGUAAUAC
Molecule: ribosomal RNA, 403 nt
Filed under: uncultured bacterium
Lineage: Bacteria
Description: partial 16S ribosomal RNA
Rfam family: Bacterial small subunit ribosomal RNA
Source: RNAcentral